This 274-nucleotide ribosomal RNA is filed under the name uncultured bacterium. RNAcentral describes it as "partial 16S ribosomal RNA". It matches the Rfam family "Bacterial small subunit ribosomal RNA", at positions 523 to 796 of the family's 1533-position model. The record is from RNAcentral.
AUACGGAGGGUGCAAGCGUUAAUCGGAAUUACUGGGCGUAAAGCGUACGUAGGCGGUUCGUUAAGUUAGAUGUGAAAGCCCCGGGCUUAACCUGGGAACUGCAUUUAAAACUGGCGGACUAGAGUUGAUUAGAGGGGAGUGGAAUUUCAGGUGUAGCGGUGAAAUGCGUAGAGAGCUGAAGGAACACCAGUGGCGAAGGCGGCUCCCUGGACUCAAACUGACGCUGAGGUACGAAAGCGUGGGUAGCAAACGGUAUUAGAAACCCCAGUAGUCC